GCACGAAGUUAGCCGGGGCUUAUUCUGCGGGUACCGUCAUUAUCGUCCCCGCCAAAAGAGCUUUACAACCCUAAGGCCGUCGUCACUCACGCGGCAUGGCUGGGUCAGGCUUGCGCCCAUUGCCCAAUAUUCCCCACUGCUGCCUCCCGUAGGAGUCUGGGCCGUGUCUCAGUCCCAGUGUGGCUGAUCAUCCUCUCAGACCAGCUAAGGAUCGUCGCCUUGGUGAGCCAUUACCUCACCAACUAGCUAAUCCUACGCGGGCCCAUCCUAUAGCGAUAAAUCUUUCCCCUUUCGGGCGUAUACGGUAUUGCUCCAAGUUUCCCUGGUAUAUUCCGUACUAUAGGGAAGGUUCCCACGCGUUACUCACCCGUCUGCCACUCCCUAUUGCUAGGGCGUUCGACUUGCAUGUGUUAGGCCUGCCGCCAGCGUUCGUU
RNAcentral lists this ribosomal RNA (434 nucleotides) under uncultured bacterium. Its description in RNAcentral is "partial 16S ribosomal RNA". The record is from RNAcentral.